GUAGGCUGCAACUCGCCUACAUGAAGUUGGAAUCGCUAGUAAUCGCGAAUCAGAAUGUCGCGGUGAAUACGUUCCCGGGUCUUGUACACACCGCCCGUCACACCACGAGAGUUUACAACACCCGAAGUCAGUGGCCUAACCGCAAGGAGGGAGCUGCCUAAGGUGGGGUAGAUGAUUGGGGUGAAGUCGUAACAAGGUAGC
Molecule: ribosomal RNA, 201 nt
Filed under: uncultured bacterium
Lineage: Bacteria
Description: partial 16S ribosomal RNA
Rfam family: Bacterial small subunit ribosomal RNA
Source: RNAcentral